CUGUGGAAGCAGCAUCAAGCAAGACUUCGGGCAGUGAUUCUAACUAUUGCCCAUGAACACCGUGGCCAGGACGACUUUGACGAGGCAAAUUUAUUACUUACGCAUAGAACAUUAGCUGUGCUGAAACUGGGAGCGCAAACAGCCCCUUGUUUUCUAAUUUAGAGACUUGCAUCUUUUCGACUCUCAACAUUAUCAAGACACUCUGCUACUACAGAUUGAUUUCCACCAUCAACACCUUUACCUCUUCCCGCCUGAAAAUAAAAUAUGAAAUACAACAAGUAAAUCGCAACCUACCUUGUAUCUUCUGGAGAGGGAAAGAAGAAACCAUGUCUAGACAAGGUGCUGGAAAGACCCAGGGAAGACAUAGGGAAAUCAUCUUUUGGGAACUUAUCUAAGAACUUCUUAUG
This 407-nucleotide non-coding RNA is filed under the name Pongo abelii (Sumatran orangutan). The record is from RNAcentral. Lineage: Eukaryota; Metazoa; Chordata; Mammalia; Primates; Hominidae.